Molecule: long non-coding RNA, 285 nt
Filed under: Lathyrus oleraceus (garden pea)
Lineage: Eukaryota; Viridiplantae; Streptophyta; Magnoliopsida; Fabales; Fabaceae
Description: Pisum sativum (pea) long non-coding RNA (PSAT_LNC028162)
Source: RNAcentral
AGAUGGAUGAGAAGUUAGAAAAGGGCGAGUGGAUGAGGACUCGGUACGACGCAUGGAGCCUGAUUGAGAGAAGAGUUCGACAGUUACUUGUCAUGGGGCAGUUGUACCCAGUAAAUGAAGCGUGUUGUUAACCGAGAAGUGCGACCUCGUGGGUAGCAUGGAAGAGAUGUGGUGUUGAAAAGGAUCCUUCCUCCUCAACGAUCGUGGGGCAAGUGGAUAAACAAAUUAUGAAGGUUCGUUCGUGGUCAAAAAAGUCUCCUCUGACAGAGCUUUGUUAUUGAUGAC